AAUACCUCAUAUCUGUGACGUUACUGACAGAAGAAGCACCGGCUAACUCCGUGCCAGCAGCCGCGGUAAUACGGAGGGUGCGAGCGUUAAUCGGAAUUACUGGGCGUAAAGCGUACGCAGGCGGUUUGUUAAGCGAGAUGUGAAAGCCCCGGGCUCAACCUGGGAACUGCAUUUCGAACUGGCAAACUAGAGUGUGAUAGAGGGUGGUAGAAUUUCAGGUGUAGCGGUGAAAUGCGUAAAGAUCUGAAGGAAUACCGAUGGCGAAGGCAGCCCCCUGGGUCAACACUGACGCUCAUGUACGAAAGCGUGGGGAGCAAACGGGAUUAGAUACCCCGGUAGUCCACGCCGUAAACGAUGUCUACUAGAAGCUCGGAACCUCGGUUCUGUUUUUCAAAGCUAACGCAUUAAGUAGACCGCCUGGGGAGUACAGCCGCAAGGUUAAAACUCAAAUGAAUUGACGG
RNAcentral lists this ribosomal RNA (461 nucleotides) under uncultured bacterium. RNAcentral's name for it is "bacterial SSU rRNA". It matches the Rfam family "Bacterial small subunit ribosomal RNA", at positions 455 to 916 of the family's 1533-position model. The record is from RNAcentral.